AAUGCUCAUUUAACAAAAUAUCUCAAAGUCAAGUUCAUAAAGUAACUUUCUUUGCAUUCAUUUGAUUCCCAAUCAAGAUACUCUGGUAAGAAGUUUCCAUUGUUAAUAUGAACUUAAAAAACGUUCUGGAAUGCAAAAUAAUAGAAUUUUAAUUCAUUGUGAUUAACUAUAGAAAUUCAGCGAUUAAUCGCGAUU
Long non-coding RNA from Etheostoma spectabile (orangethroat darter), 195 nucleotides. RefSeq lists it as uncharacterized. The record is from RefSeq and is a predicted model, not a curated record. The transcript has 3 exons. NCBI's taxonomy places the organism in Eukaryota, Metazoa, Chordata, Actinopteri, Perciformes, Percidae.